This 1044-nucleotide ribosomal RNA is filed under the name uncultured Chloroflexota bacterium. RNAcentral's name for it is "bacterial SSU rRNA". It matches the Rfam family "Bacterial small subunit ribosomal RNA", at positions 8 to 1053 of the family's 1533-position model. Lineage: Bacteria; Bacillati; Chloroflexota. The record is from RNAcentral.
AGAGUUUGAUCCUGGCUCAGGAUAAACGCUGGCGGCGUGCCUAACACAUGCAAGUCGAACGCCCUUUGUCUCGCAAGAGAGGGAGGGAGUGGCGGACGGGUGAGUAACACAUGGGUGACCUACCCCACAGUGAGGGAUACCGGCGAGAAAUUGCCGACAAGCCCGCAUAGGUUCUUGCUGGUAGAGCAGUGAGAGCAAAGGUGCUUUUUCGCAAGAGGAAGCGCUGCUGUGGGAUGGGCCUGUGGCCGAUUAGCUAGUUGGUGAGGUAAGAGCUUACCAAGGCGUCGAUCGGUAGCUGGUCUGAGAGGACGAUCAGCCACACUGGGAUUGAGAACGGCCCAGACUCCUACGGGGGGCAGCAGUGAGGAAUUUUCCGCAAUGGGGGCAACCCUGACGGAGCAACGCCGCGUGCAGGAGGACGCUUUUCGGAGUGUAAACUGCUUUUCUGUGGGAAGAGCUACGGACGGUACCACAGGAAGAAGCCCCGGCUAACUACGUGCCAGCAGCCGCGGUAAUACGUAGGGGGCGAGCGUUGUCCGGAGUUACUGGGCGUAAAGGGCAUGCAGGCGGUCGUACGCGUUUCGGGUGACAGCGGGUGGCUUAACUACCCGAGUGUUCGAAAGACGGUACGACUUGAGGACUCGAGAGGGACACGGAAUUCCGGGUGGAGUGGUGAAAUGCGUAGAGAUCCGGAGGAACACCGAAGGCGAAGGCAGUGUCCUGGCGAGUGACUGACGCUGAGGUGCGAAAGCUAGGGGAGCGAACGGGAUUAGAUACCCCGGUAGUCCUAGCCGUAAACGAUGACCACCAGGUGUGGGAGGUAUCGACCCCUUCCGUGCCGGAGUUAACACACUAAGUGGUCCGCCUGGGGAGUACGGUCGCAAGAUUAAAACUCAAAGGAAUUGACGGGGACCCGCACAAGCAGCGGAGCGUGUGGUUUAAUUCGAUGCGACGCGAAGAACCUUACCAGGGUUUGACAUGCACGUGCACCAACCAGAGAUGGUUGUCCCUUCGGGGCGCGUGCACAGGUGCUGCAUGGCUGUC